GAUCACGAACGAUUCAUCCCUGUUAAAAAAUUGAUUAUCGAAUGACGAGAAAAAGAAAAAAGAAAAAAAAAGGAGAAAAAAGGCAACGUAAAAAAGUCCCAUUGAAAAUACAUGCGUACGAGUGCGUAGGAAUAGAUUUUAGGAAAUAUCGUAAAUAAGAAAACUUGAACAAUCGACUACCAGAAAAAGCUCAUAUACGUAUCGAUGGAUCGGGUACGGCAUGAGAGGAAUGUAAAAGAAAACGUAACAGCAAAGGUGAAGAUGCGUUUGUUUAUUAUUAACCUUAUGUAAUAUCGUUUCAAAUUCUCAAUUACAUUAUUAUAUAUAAUAAUAAUUAUAAUAAUCAUAAUAAUAAUAUGACAAUGUAUACAGGUUAGAUACAACUUUUUCUUCAUCUUGCAUGGAGUUUUGUUAAUUUUUUCUUCAUCUUAAUAAAUCGGUUUUUGUUUCAUAAUUCAGUUUGUUUUCUCUUUUUCUCUUUUUUCUUCUUUUUCUGCAUUCAUCCUUUAUAUUUUUUUUUUAACCCAAUUGGAACAUGCCAUCGCCGAAGGAGAUAUCAAGACAUCGUUCGACAUGCUUAAUUCUCGAAAGACGCUCGCAUGCCGCCACUCAGGU
Molecule: long non-coding RNA, 615 nt
Organism: Vespula vulgaris
Lineage: Eukaryota; Metazoa; Arthropoda; Insecta; Hymenoptera; Vespidae
Exons: 2
Source: RefSeq, a predicted model, not a curated record